CAACCCUCGAGCCCCCGCUGGCUUGGCGUUGGGGCGCGGCCCGGUCCGUCCCUAGGGCGGCCGGCCGGCCCUGAAAUCUAGUGGCGGCCUCGCCUCGUCCUCCCCUGCGUAGUAGCACACCUCGCACCGGAGCGCGGCGCGGCCACGCCGUUAAGCAGGAGCGCUUUCGCGUUCCUCUCUCAAGG
RNAcentral lists this unclassified non-coding RNA (185 nucleotides) under uncultured Sordariomycetes. Its description in RNAcentral is "sequence contains ITS2". Lineage: Eukaryota; Fungi; Ascomycota; Sordariomycetes. The record is from RNAcentral.